This 792-nucleotide ribosomal RNA is filed under the name uncultured bacterium. Its description in RNAcentral is "bacterial SSU rRNA". It matches the Rfam family "Bacterial small subunit ribosomal RNA", at positions 8 to 796 of the family's 1533-position model. The record is from RNAcentral.
AGAGUUUGAUCAUGGCUCAGAGCGAACGCUGGCGGCGUGCUUAACACAUGCAAGUCGAACGCGCAGCAUUCUGUAGCAAUACAGGGUGUGGGCGCGUGGCGAACGGGUGCGUAACACGUGGAUAACCUUCCUUCAGGUGGGGAAUAACCCAGUGAAAAUUGGGCUAAUACCGCAUAACAAAGCGAGAAGACAUCUUUUUGCUUUCAAAGCCGCAAGGCGCCAGAAGAGGGAUCCGCGGCCGAUUAGCUUGUUGGCGGGGUAACGGCCCACCAAGGCAUUGAUCGGUAGCCGGACUGAGAGGUUGGCCGGCCACACUGGAACUGAGACACGGUCCAGACUCCUACGGGAGGCAGCAGUGGGGAAUCUUGCACAAUGGGCGAAAGCCUGAUGCAGCAACGCCGCGUGGGGGAUGAAGCUUCUCGGAGUGUAAACCCCUUUCGACCCGGAAGAAAGCCCGCAAGGGUUUGACGGUACGGGUAUAAGAAGCCCCGGCUAACUACGUGCCAGCAGCCGCGGUAAAACGUAGGGGGCUAGCGUUGCUCGGAAUUACUGGGCGUAAAGGGUCCGUAGGCGGUGUGGCAAGUCGGUAGUGAAAUCUCUAGGCUUAACCUAGAGGCUGCUGCCGAAACUGCCGUGCUAGAGUGUGAGAGAGGCGAGUGGAAUUACGGGUGUAGCGGUGAAAUGCGUAGAUAUCCGUAGGAACAUCCGAGGCGAAAGCGGCUCGCUGGAUCACAACUGACGCUGAGGGACGAAAGCUAGGGGAGCAAACAGGAUUAGAUACCCCGGUAGUCC